GGAGACGGCACGGCCGCAUGGCACCGCCGCCAUGAAUCAAGCCGCCACGCGCGGCCGGUCUACCUCUCCAGCUACCCUCCAGCAGCGCGGCCAUUGCCCUGUUCUUCCCCUCCUCGCCCGCCCCUUCUUCGCCUCCUCACCUGCCCCAACUCCUCACCCCCAGCCUCCUCCACCUCGAGGAGGACAACUCCGAUUUGGACCUCAAGUACUGCCUCCCCGACACCUCCAUCCCCAAGUACAUCCUCCCGUCAGACGAGGACGAGAUUUGGAUUGAGGCACAACAGAGAUGAGGAAGGACAAAGCAUGAAUAGCUCCAGUGAGAGUGAAUGGAUAUGAACACCAGAACCCUCUCAGAGGAUGUUGGCUGAUCGGGAUACCCAAUUCUCAAACAAGCAUGCUGAGAUGCUCAAGAUAUGGAAGUUCGCCCACAAGCUCAACCACCAGGUGAACACAUGUCAAAGGUGCAUACGGACAUGAUGAAGCCGUGAAUUGUCGCACAGGUCACUGACCUUCUUGGGUUCGAAAAACUACCUAACUGCUAUUAUCCUGAAUUUAGUUUUAUCUGAACUAAGAGGACUACCUGUGCUUCUCUAACAAAGAAUUACUCAUUUGGUGCUCUUUUGCACUGUUGAUUUUAGUU
Long non-coding RNA from Triticum dicoccoides, 640 nucleotides. RefSeq lists it as uncharacterized. NCBI's taxonomy places the organism in Eukaryota, Viridiplantae, Streptophyta, Magnoliopsida, Poales, Poaceae. The record is from RefSeq and is a predicted model, not a curated record. The transcript has 4 exons.